UCUCGCGGAGGGGGUGAGGGAGGGAGGCUGUGUGUGUGUGUGUGUGUGUGUGUGUGUGUGUGUGCAGAUGCAGCAGCAGCAGCAGCAAGCGGCGUCUUCCAUCUCGUCCUCACCUGCUGAAGCCUCCCUGCACUUGCCUCGCGCUGCUGCUGCCCGCCUCCACCUGCGCUCCGUACCGCUCGCAAACAAGUUCAGAUUUGUUUUGGUCUUCAUUCUGGCAGUCGACGGUUCAAUCCCUGGGUCCUCCAGUCCGCAUGCCAACGGGUCCUGUGGCAAGACAUUCAAACCCUACAUUGAGCCUUAAAAGACGGAUCCACGGCGUCGGUCUCGGCUGGAGUUGGGAAGCAGUUUAAGAUUCCUGUUAUCUUCUUACUGUAUCUUUCCCCGAUGGGACUAUGAAGAGAAGAGGGGAAAAGGUAGUUGCUUUUUUUCUUCUGUUUGCUUUACCGUUCUCUGUUGUGUUUGUGCAUCUGUCCAUCGAUUCCCUGGUGCAUUAAUGUCUGAAGACAUUGACAGAGGUGAUCUUUCUCCUCUGAUGUUCACCCACUGUACAAACCUUGUGGAAAAAUUAAAUAAGGGGGAAAAAAAAAAGAAUAAAAAGAAUCUGUUGACUGUGCAACAAGGGGAAAUUGCGACUGGUGUCACUUCAGUUCUGUUCAGUUCAUUUGGAAGAUUUUUAGUCAUGGACUGUGUGACUUUGUCAUCUUUUCGAGACGAAUGAUUGUAUCGCCGUGACAUUAAA
This is a long non-coding RNA of Scophthalmus maximus (turbot), 742 nucleotides long. RefSeq lists it as uncharacterized. The transcript has 3 exons. NCBI's taxonomy places the organism in Eukaryota, Metazoa, Chordata, Actinopteri, Pleuronectiformes, Scophthalmidae. The record is from RefSeq and is a predicted model, not a curated record.